CUUGGAGGAGCCCAGUGACCUUGAGGAGCUUGAGCAGUUUGCCAAGACCUUCAAACAAAGACGAAUCAAACUUGGUUUCACUCAGGGUGAUGUUGGGCUCGCUAUGGGGAAACUAUAUGGAAAUGACUUCAGCCAAACUACCAUCUCUCGCUUUGAAGCCUUGAACCUCAGCUUUAAGAACAUGUGCAAGUUGAAGCCACUUUUAGAGAAGUGGCUAAAUGAUGCAGAAUCUUGAAGCUUACUAAUCCUGGGAGGAUCAUUAUAAAUUAUGGUGAUAUAAAUCAGAAAGCUGAUUCAUUUAAAUAUUCUAGUAAUUACAGUAUAAAUAAUUAGCAGUAAUUUUUAGCCUGAAAUACUUCUUGUAUUUGAGCCAGGAUUAGGAACACACACACACACACAGUUGAAGGAACAGGAUAAGUAAGGCUUUUGUAUUUAGAUAAGCUUGAAGUAGAAGCUUAUUGUUUCUUCCUUGAUGAAUUAUCAUAGAACUUGUUCUUGUAAUAGUUCUGCUUUUG
This 515-nucleotide small RNA is filed under the name Pongo abelii (Sumatran orangutan). RNAcentral's name for it is "processed transcript". Lineage: Eukaryota; Metazoa; Chordata; Mammalia; Primates; Hominidae. The record is from RNAcentral.